CAAUAGCGUAUAUUAAAGUUGUUGCAGUUAAAAAGCUCGUAGUUGGAUUUCUGGCUGGAGCGAUCGGUCCGCCCCGCAAGGGGUGGUGUACUAGCGUCGUCUCCGACCAUCCUUGUGGGAACUGUGCGGCCGUUAACUCGGUUGUAUAUGGGAACACAUCGUUUACUGUGAAAAAUUAAGAGUGUUUAAAGUCAGGCUUAAGCCGUUGAAUACAUUAGCAUGGAAUAAUAAGAUAAGACUUGGGUCAUUAUUUUGUUGGUUUGCGGAUCGAGGUAAUGAUUAAUAGGGAUAGUUGGGGGGUAUUCAUAUUUAAUUGUCAGAGGUGAAAUUCUUGGAUUUAUGAAAGAUGAACUUAGGCGAAAGCAUUUACCAAGGAUUGUUUUCAAUUAAUCAAGAAACGAAAGGUU
Molecule: ribosomal RNA, 407 nt
Filed under: uncultured eukaryote
Lineage: Eukaryota
Description: bacterial SSU rRNA
Rfam family: Eukaryotic small subunit ribosomal RNA
Source: RNAcentral